UCAGACGAUGCGUCAUGCAUAUCAAUAAGCGGAGGAAAAGAAACUAACAAGGAUUCCUCUAGUAACGGCGAGUGAAGCGGGAAGAGCUCAAAUUUGAAAUCUUAAAGGGUUUCCCUUUACGAAUUGUAGUUUAAAGAAGUGUUUUCUGUUGAGGUUUUGGUAAAAGUUCUUUGGAAUAGGACAUCAUAGAGGGUGAGAAUCCCGUAUUUGACCUUUACUUUCAACUUUGUGAUACACUUUCAAAGAGUCGGAUUGUUUGGGAAUGCAGUCCAAAAUGGGUGGUAAAUUUCAUCUAAAGCUAAAUAUUGGCGAGAGACCGAUAGCGAACAAGUACCGUGAGGGAAAGAUGAAAAGAACUUUGAAAAGAGAGUUAAACAGUACGUGAAAUUGUCAAAAGGGAAGCGUUUGACACCAGUGUUGUUUUUCUGAAAAUCAAUUAAAGAGCUGUUUAUGCUAAGCUGUUUAGACUUUAUCAGCUAAUCUGUUUAGUUUUGAGCUUUUCUUUAAUGCACUUUUCAGUUAACAAGUCAACAUCAAUUUCUUAUGCUGUAAAAAAGCUUGAGGAAGGUGGCUUGAGAUUCGUCUUAAGUGUUUAUAGCCUCUUGCCUAUGCAGUCGGAGAGAUUGAGGUCUGCAGCGUAGAUCCUUCGGGGCUAAAUGCAUUUGUGCUAAGUUAUAGCAUUUUAUAGACAACUUGUUGACUAUGAUUUGUCUUGUAGCUUACUCGCUUAUGUUAUUUUACCUACGCUUAGGAUGUUGAAUCUGUGCGAGACUAC
This 775-nucleotide ribosomal RNA is filed under the name uncultured Neocallimastigales. Its description in RNAcentral is "partial large subunit ribosomal RNA". It matches the Rfam family "Eukaryotic large subunit ribosomal RNA", at positions 18 to 644 of the family's 3401-position model. The record is from RNAcentral. Lineage: Eukaryota; Fungi; Neocallimastigomycota; Neocallimastigomycetes; Neocallimastigales.